UUAAUUUUUAUUUAUUAAUUUUUUUUUGUUUAAAAUUUAAAUAUUAGAAAUAACUAUAAAAUUUAAAGUUUUAGUAUUGUUUAAAGAAAAAAUAAUUUUAAUAAUAGUUUAAUAGUAUUGUAAAAGAAAAUUGAAAUAAUUUGAAAAAUUUUUAUUUUAAAAGAAAAUUUAAUUUAUUGUACCUUGUGUAUCAGCGUUUAUUAAAUAAAAAAUAUAAAUAUAUUUUUCUCGAUUUUAAAAGAGUUAAUAUAAUAUGUAAGUUAAUGUAAUAAAAUUAUUUAUAAUAUUAUAUUAGAAAUGAAAUGUUAUUCGUUUUUAAUGGUAUCUAGUUUUCUAAGAAAUGAAUUUAAUUCAGAAUUUAUAAAUUUAUUAAUUUUUUUUAUUUAAAUUAAUAAUUUAUAAUUUUAAUAUUUUAUGGGAUAAGCUAUAAAAUAAAUUUUUAAAAAUAAUAAAUAAAUUUAAUAAAUAUAUGCUUAGAAUUAGCAAUUAUUAAAAAAUGUGUUAUAAUUUAUUUUAUAAAUUAAAUUAUUUAUUAUAUUUUAAUUAUUUAUUAGAAUAUUAAUUUUAAUCUUUAAAAUUAAGAAAUAAUGAUAAAAUUAGUAUAUUUUUAUGUUAAAAUAAAUUUUAAUGAAAAGUUUAAGUAAAGAAUUCGGCAAAAAUAAUGUUCGCCUGUUUAACAAAAACAUGUCUUUUUGAAUUAAAUUUAAAGUCUAACCUGCCCACUGAAAUUUUAAAUGGCCGCAGUAUUUUGACUGUGCAAAGGUAGCAUAAUCAUUAGUCUUUUAAUUGAAGGCUGGAAUGAAUGGUUGGACGAAAUAUUAACUGUUUCAUUUAAAUUUUUUAUAGAAUUUUAUUUUUUAGUCAAAAAGCUAAAAUAAUUUUAAAAGACGAGAAGACCCUAUAAAUCUUUAUAUUUUUUUUAUUUUAAUUGUUAAGAUUAAUUUUAUUUUAAUAAAUAAAAAUAUUUUAUUGGGGUGAUAUUAAAAUUUAAAAAAC
This 996-nucleotide ribosomal RNA is filed under the name Drosophila persimilis. RNAcentral describes it as "partial 16S ribosomal RNA". Lineage: Eukaryota; Metazoa; Arthropoda; Insecta; Diptera; Drosophilidae. The record is from RNAcentral.